Molecule: ribosomal RNA, 119 nt
Filed under: Chroogomphus asiaticus
Lineage: Eukaryota; Fungi; Basidiomycota; Agaricomycetes; Boletales; Gomphidiaceae
Description: 5.8S ribosomal RNA
Rfam family: 5.8S ribosomal RNA
About the family: 5.8S ribosomal RNA (5.8S rRNA) is a component of the large subunit of the eukaryotic ribosome. It is transcribed by RNA polymerase I as part of the 45S precursor that also contains 18S and 28S rRNA.
Source: RNAcentral
CAACUUUCAGCAAUGGAUCUCUUGGCUCUCGCAUCGAUGAAGAACGCAGCGCAWCGAAUCUUUGAACGCACCUUGCGCUCCUUGGUWUUCCGAGGAGCAUGCCUGGUUGAGKGKCAUUA